This 387-nucleotide unclassified non-coding RNA is filed under the name soil metagenome. RNAcentral describes it as "partial contains 5.8S ribosomal RNA, internal transcribed spacer 2, and large subunit ribosomal RNA". The stretch from base 1 to 120 matches the Rfam family "5.8S ribosomal RNA", at positions 35 to 154 of the family's 154-position model. The record is from RNAcentral.
GAUGAAGAACGUAGCGAAAUGCGAUAAGUAAUGUGAAUUGCAGAAUUCAGUGAAUCAUCGAAUCUUUGAACGCACCUUGCACCCUUUGGCAUUCCGAAGGGUAUGCUCGUUUGAGUGUCAUUGUACUCUCACACUCUCCGAUCCUAUGGAUUCGGGGAGCGGUGGACUUGGGUGUUGCUGCCUUUCCUUGUGGCUCACCUCAAAUGUGUCAGUGCACCUCUUGGUUGGACAUAGUACGGCGUGAUAAGUGUCUUCGCCGGCACCUCGCAAGAGGGUGGCCGAUCGGGAGCUCUGUGCUUUCCAACUGUCCUCAGACAACAACUGACAACUUGACCUCAAAUCGAGUAGGACCACCCGCUGAACUUAAGCAUAUCAAUAAGCGGAGGA